UACGUAGGGCGCAAGCGUUGUCCGGAAUUAUUGGGCGUAAAGAGCUCGUAGGCGGUCUGUCGCGUCCGUUGUGAAAACUCGAGGCUCAACCUCGGGCUUGCAGUGGAUACGGGCAGACUAGAGUGCGGUAGGGGAGACUGGAAUUCCUGGUGUAGCGGUGGAAUGCGCAGAUAUCAGGAGGAACACCGAUGGCGAAGGCAGGUCUCUGGGCCGAUACUGACGCUGAGGAGCGAAAGCGUGGGGAGCGAACAGG
This 253-nucleotide ribosomal RNA is filed under the name uncultured bacterium. RNAcentral describes it as "partial 16S ribosomal RNA". It matches the Rfam family "Bacterial small subunit ribosomal RNA", at positions 524 to 776 of the family's 1533-position model. The record is from RNAcentral.